This is a long non-coding RNA of Monodelphis domestica (gray short-tailed opossum), 391 nucleotides long. RefSeq lists it as uncharacterized. Lineage: Eukaryota; Metazoa; Chordata; Mammalia; Didelphimorphia; Didelphidae. The record is from RefSeq and is a predicted model, not a curated record.
UUGAGGAAUACCUCCUCUUUUCUUUAUUUGUAUUUGCCUAAGAUAAAGUUGUGGACUUACUUAUCUUUGCUUCAGACAAAGAUAAGGAUUGACACCUUCCCCCAUCUUGGGACCAAGGAUGGAAUGUAAACAAGAAGGCUGCGGGAUAAAAUUUAUGAAGGGCUAAUUGCGAUUAGGUGGGCGCCUAUCCCCUCGUCUGUCCCCUUCCCCUUUGUAUUUGCAUUAACGGAAGAAUGUAGGCUGACCUUCGAACACCUGACUAUCCCUUGAUCAAGAUUAGGGUUUCUGGAAUGUAGAGUUGUACAUUCCUGUAGGUUUUUUGUCUAAGUAGUCUUUGCCUAUAAAAGUUCUGUGUGAAGCAAAUAAAAUUGGCACUAUUUCUCUCUUUUCA